This 440-nucleotide ribosomal RNA is filed under the name uncultured bacterium. RNAcentral's name for it is "partial 16S ribosomal RNA". It matches the Rfam family "Bacterial small subunit ribosomal RNA", at positions 338 to 795 of the family's 1533-position model. The record is from RNAcentral.
CCUACGGGAGGCAGCAGUGGGGAAUAUUGCACAAUGGGGGGAACCCUGAUGCAGCGACGCCGCGUGAGUGAAGAAGUAUUUCGGUAUGUAAAGCUCUAUCAGCAGGGACGAAAAUGACGGUACCUGACUAAGAAGCCCCGGCUAACUACGUGCCAGCAGCAGCGGUAAUACGUAGGGGGCAAGCGUGAUCCGGAUUUACUGGGUGUACAGGGGGCGGAGACGGCUGUGCAAGUCUGGAGUGAAAGGCGGGGGCUCAACCCCCGGACUGCUCUGGAAACUGGAAAGCUGGAGUGCAGGAGAGGUAAGCGGAAUUCCUAGUGUAGCGGUGAAAUGCGUAGAUAUUAGGAGGAACACCAGUGGCGAAGGCGGCUUACUGGACUGCAACUGACGUGGAGGCUCGAAAGCGUGGGGAGCAAACAGGAUUAGAUACCCCUGUAGUC